AUAUCAUAAAAUAUAAGAAUAAGGGCUGAAAUUAAAUUCCCGAGCCUAGGGGCAAAAUUGUAAUUUUGAAAAAGUUAGGGGGCAAAAAUGUAAUUUUUCCAUGAUGUGAUUUUUGGAUUGAAAUAAAUAGUAUGAGUAUUAAAUGAGCUAAAUGUGUUAUUAUAGAUCAAGAAAGACGCGGAAUUGAUCUCGAACGGGGGAAGGAAAAAGUUUUGGACUAAAUUGCAAAAUUUCCACAUUUUGCACCAAGUGUUCUUCGGCUUGCUCAGGAGUUAAGGAUCGUGAAGAUCUAUCCGCACUAUCAUACUUUAGGGUAUUUGAACUAAACGUUUUGAAUUAUGGCAUGUAUAGUAGGCUUAAUUAUUUUGUUACGUGUCAUAUUUGUCUAGGUUUAAAAUAUUAGUUACAGUACUCGACCAGCUAAUUUUUACAAGGCAUUAAAGUUGGCUAAUAUUGUUCAAGACAUAUAUUAUACGAUGCACUAUCAAAUUGGAUGACAUAUUUAUAUUUCGGUUAUGUUUAA
This is a long non-coding RNA of Gossypium arboreum, 523 nucleotides long. RefSeq lists it as uncharacterized. The transcript has 2 exons. The record is from RefSeq and is a predicted model, not a curated record. NCBI's taxonomy places the organism in Eukaryota, Viridiplantae, Streptophyta, Magnoliopsida, Malvales, Malvaceae.